Molecule: ribosomal RNA, 466 nt
Filed under: uncultured Eubacteriales bacterium
Lineage: Bacteria; Bacillati; Bacillota; Clostridia; Eubacteriales
Description: bacterial SSU rRNA
Rfam family: Bacterial small subunit ribosomal RNA
Source: RNAcentral
CCCGGCACAAGCGGUGGAGCAUGUGGUUUAAUUCGAAGCAACGCGAAGAACCUUACCAGGGCUUGACAUGCCGCUGACCGGUUUAGAGAUAGACCUUUAUCCUUCGGGGUACAGCGGACACAGGUGGUGCAUGGUUGUCGUCAGCUCGUGUCGUGAGAUGUUGGGUUAAGUCCCGCAACGAGCGCAACCCUUGUCUUUAGUUGCCAUCAUUAAGUUGGGCACUCUAAAGAGACUGCCGAUGACAAAUCGGAGGAAGGUGGGGAUGACGUCAAAUCAUCAUGCCCUUUAUGUCCUGGGCUACACACGUGCUACAAUGGUCGGUACAACGAGAAGCAAGCCAGCGAUGGCAAGCAAAUCUCUAAAAGCCGAUCCCAGUUCGGAUUGCAGGCUGCAACUCGCCUGCAUGAAGUCGGAGUUGCUAGUAAUCGCGGAUCAGAAUGCCGCGGUGAAUGCGUUCCCGGGUCUU